AGAGAGAGAGAUUUAACAUGUGAAAGUGAACCAACGAUUGUGUGAAAGUGAACCACUUUUGUACGCGUCCCUAUUGGUUCACUUUGAAAAGCGCCGAUUCUGCCGAUGUUCCACUUUCACUUGUGUAAAACUGAACCAAAUAUGAUAUGGAGCGCUGUCGUAUGCGCACUCCGUACGUCAUAUUAUUGAUUUAUUUUGUAUUUCUUCAAUCUAAUUGAAUAUAUCAGUUCGGAAUCGUCUUUGAAAUUUUCGAAAAAGAAAUUCAUAGUUUUAGGUUUAACUAUUUCACUUUAUUUUUGUUUAAAUAUUAUUUUGAAUAGUUUAAAGUCAUUAUUCGACCUGAAUGUAAAUCGCUGACGAAUUUUUCGAAAGCUACGAGUUUAAUUCAAAUUUAUCUGUUGGAUAUCUGCUAGUAGUCACUAUGGAAGGAAGUAAGAUAAUUUCUGUUCUGGGUGGAGAUGCAGAUCUUUUUGGUGCUGAAGAGACACCGGUUGAGACGCCAGUGAAAAAGAAGAAACAAAGCAAUUGCUGCCUGAAGCCAGUAUGUAGCCAGUAUAGCCCAACCAGGAGUGAACAGAGCAGGCCAGAUGAGGAAAUGCCCCAUGCAUAUUUCUAUAUGUGUCGAUGCAAAGUGCUUGAAAGAGUUUUAUUGGAUUUUCAUUUAACAUUCCAAUCUGAUUACACUUGCUUUUUACAUCUGGGGACCAACCUUUACUAACACCAUCUGUAAAACCUGACCCAGUUUCGAACCAUUGGAGUUGGUUGAUAAGUGAACAAAGAUAGCCGUUCUCAAGACAGACGCUACACUAGUCUUGUUGGGAUAGAAACAAAGUGAUAACAACCACCGUCAAAAUAUGGCAAUUAGUGCCAAGGAUCUACUAUCACGUGGUCACAGAUCUACUGUAAAGGUCUUGAAGUUGGUGAGCUUGAUUACUACAGUGUUGAUUGAUAAUGGAUGCUUGAUAGUCAUGAAGAAAUGGCACUGUGACAUGUACUCCCAAUUUGGAAUUUGGAACGUGUGUUCUGUUUAUGCUACAGCAUCACAUUUAGUUUGUGAAAUGCCAAUGUCCUGGUGAACUGAACAAGCUUCAUCUCAAGUCCUUCCAGACUUUGUUUUUGAUGGUUGAAAAGCAUACCCCUCAACGUUGAUCGUUUGACCUCAAUGAUGCAGUGAUGUCGUGCUCCUGGCUGUUGUUGACUCACUCCAAAAGUCUACAUGUAUGCAGAACAAAUUGGAAUUAAGAGAAGGGAUGCUACUGCACAUUGAUAGCUCUGUCAGCAUUUGGAAUACUAUCCAUGAAUCUUUAAAUUUAGAUGAUUUUCAUUUUUAUAUGAAUUCACUUUUUGUUUUGUUUUGUUCACCCCAGAUCAUGGUUCUCUUGAAAGUUGAAACCCAUGAAGCUCAUACUUAGUAUGGAUUCUUAAAGUUAUGUAGACUAUCUCUUGUGUUAAGAAUAAAAUGUUUUACCUAAGACCUCAAAACUCAAAGUAAAAAAGCAAAUAAUUUUGAACUUUCUUAGUGACAUUAUACUACACAAGGGAAAUUCUUAGGUUGGAGCAGCGAGGUGAAAGGUGAAUCAUUGUUAUAUAUGUAGCAAUAUAGUUUUAACAUUUAUAAUUCAUGCACAUGUACAAAAUUUAGGGUGUUUGUGACCACAUACAUUUUUUUUCCAGGAGUCUUCUGUCUCGAUUACAUGAAGGUUGCAUUGUACAUCAACUGUGUGCCUCUAAGACAAUCCAAAUAAUGUAGAAAUUAUUAAAACGUAUUUUGUACGCUUCAUCCUCUUCUGGGGGACUUUUGGAAAAGAAUAUCAUCUCUUUUGUACACAAAUUACAGUGCCGAAAUAAGUUCAUGAGGUUAUAAUGAACAUUUUUGAUCAUACAACAAUUUAUUUUUAAAGUCAUGUGAUAUCCUUAAAAGCAAUAUGAUGUUCUCUAGUUAAUUCCCUAUUUCAUAUUCAUUUGUGAGUAACUUGAGAUCAGUUUUUAAGUUGUCAUUCUAUAUUUCUUUAUUUAAAAUACUGAAUUUUCCGUUUUCUUUUUUAAUUCUUUAUAUCGACCAAUGAAUGAUGGACUUCGGCUUAGCAAUAUAUCAGCUCAAUUUAUUUGGUAUUUUCUAACUUUUAUUAAUCUACACCUGUAAAUGUACUUAUAACAACCAUUUAUAACAUGUACACAAUGAAAUUUCCUAGAAUAGCUACUCUAGAGUGCUGGUCAAAAUGUGUUUUGAAUAUAAGAGGGAGCAUGUAGCAGUGCUAAUCAUGUUAUUAUAUGAGGCAUCUUAUUAUGUGUGGUUAAAGAAAAUCAUAGUAUACAAAGACUUCCGCCCAGGUUAAUAAUUUUGUUACAUGUACAUCCAAUUAUUAGCAGUGGUAAUUAUGUUACUUUGUUUGCCAACUUUCCUUAACACAAUUCAACUGAGUUUGAUAUUAUACAAAGUUGUCGAGAGAAGUUCUGGUUAAAACUAUGCGCAAGAGGUUACUCCAAUAGACGAGUUGGAGUCACCGAGGACCGUAGUUUUAACCAGUACCUCGAAAAGAGGGCAUAGUAUAUUUGUUUUAUAUCCUGCAUCAAAACAUUAAUUUAAGAUUAAA
Molecule: long non-coding RNA, 2594 nt
Organism: Strongylocentrotus purpuratus (purple sea urchin)
Lineage: Eukaryota; Metazoa; Echinodermata; Echinoidea; Camarodonta; Strongylocentrotidae
Exons: 4
Source: RefSeq, a predicted model, not a curated record